GAUGAACGCUGGCGGCGUGCCUAAUACAUGCAAGUCGAGCGAACAGACGAGGAGCUUGCUCCUCUGACGUUAGCGGCGGACGGGUGAGUAACACGUGGAUAACCUACCUAUAAGACUGGGAUAACUUCGGGAAACCGGAGCUAAUACCGGAUAAUAUAUUGAACCGCAUGGUUCAAUAGUGAAAGACGGUUUUGCUGUCACUUAUAGAUGGAUCCGCGCCGCUUUAGCUAGUUGGUAAGGUAACAGCUUACCAAGGCAACGAUGCGUAGCCGACCUGAGAGGGUGAUCGGCCACACUGGAACUGAGACACGGUCCAGACUCCUACGGGGGGCAGCAGUAGGGAAUCUUCCGCAAUGGGCGAAAGCCUGACGGAGCAACGCCGCGUGAGUGAUGAAGGUCUUCGGAUCGUAAAACUCUGUUAUUAGGGAAGAACAAAUGUGUAAGUAACUAUGCACGUCUUGACGGUACCUAAUCAGAAAGCCACGGCUAACUACGUG
RNAcentral lists this ribosomal RNA (497 nucleotides) under uncultured bacterium. Its description in RNAcentral is "partial 16S ribosomal RNA". It matches the Rfam family "Bacterial small subunit ribosomal RNA", at positions 28 to 507 of the family's 1533-position model. The record is from RNAcentral.